UGAAUACGAAAUGCUACGGCAUUGAAGUGAUCUAUGCCAGGCUUCCAAGAAAAUCUCGUCAUAUCUUAAGCAGUAGAUGCCUGUACCUUAAACCGACACAGGUAGGUAGGUAGAGUAUACCAAGGGGCGCGAGAUAACUCUCUCUAAGGAACUCGGCAAAAUAACCUCGUAACUUCGGAAGAAGAGGUACCCUUGAAAAAGGGUUGCAAUAACCAGACCCUGGCGACUGUUUACCAAAAACACAGGUCUCCGCUAAUUCGUAAGAUCAAGUAUGGAGGCUGACGCCUGCCCAGUGCCGGAAGGUUAAAGAAGUUGGUCAAUCUUUGGAUGAAGCUGGCGACUGAAGCCCCGGUGAACGGCGGCCGUAACUAUAACGGUCCUAAGGUAGCGAAGUUCCUUGUCGGGUAAGUUCCGACCCGCACGAAAGGCGUAACGAUCAGGGUGCUGUCUCGGAGAGAGACUCGGCGAAAUAGACAUGUCUGUGAAGAUGUGGACUACCUGCACCUGGACAGAAAGACCCUAUGAAGCUUUACUGUAUCUUGGAAUUGGGUUUGGGCCUUGCUUGCGCAGGAUAGGUGGGAGGCUGUGAAGAUAUUCUUGCGGGAAUGUUGGAGCCAACGGUGAGAUACCACUCUAGUAAGGCUAAAAUUCUAACUCUGAACCGUUAUCCGGUCAGAGAACAGUUUCAGGUGGGCAGUUUGACUGGGGCGGUCGCCUCCUAAAAGGUAACGGAGGCGCGCAAAGGUUCCCUCAGGCUGGUUGGACAUCAGUCGUAGAGUGUAAAGGCAUAAGGGAGCUUGACUGCGAGACCCACAAGUCGAGCAGAGACGAAAGUCGGCCUUAGUGAUCCGACGGUUCCACGUGGAAGGGCCGUCGCUCAACGAAUAAAAGUUACUCUAAGGAUAACAGGCUGAUCUCCCCCAAGAGUUCACAUCGACGGGGAGGUUUGGCACCUCGAUGUCGGCUCAUCGCAUCCUGGGGCGGUAGUACGUCCCAAGGGUUGGGCUGUUCGCCCAUGAAAGCGGUACGCGAGCUGGGUUCAGAACGUCGUGAGACAGCUCGGUCCAUAUCCGGUGCAGGCGUUAGAGCAUUGAGAGGAGUCCCCCUUAGUACGAGAGGACCGGGGGGAAUACACCGCUGGUGUACCAGUUAUCGUGCCAACGGUAAACGCUGGGUAGCCAUGUGUAGCGCGGAUAACUGCUGAAAGCAUCUAAGUAGGAAGCCCACCUUAAGAUGAGUGCUCUCACCGCUAUAAGCGGGUAAGGUCACGGUAAGAACAACCGUUAUAUAGGCAUUAAGUAUACGUGCAGUAAUGCAUUUAGCUGAGAUGUACUAACAGACCGAGGGCUUGAC
RNAcentral lists this ribosomal RNA (1353 nucleotides) under metagenome. Its description in RNAcentral is "bacterial LSU rRNA". It matches the Rfam family "Bacterial large subunit ribosomal RNA", at positions 1564 to 2925 of the family's 2925-position model. The record is from RNAcentral.